Molecule: ribosomal RNA, 497 nt
Filed under: uncultured bacterium
Lineage: Bacteria
Description: partial 16S ribosomal RNA
Rfam family: Bacterial small subunit ribosomal RNA
Source: RNAcentral
GAUGAACGCUGGCGGCGUGCCUAAUACAUGCAAGUCGAGCGAACGGACGAGAAGCUUGCUUCUCUGAUGUUAGCGGCGGACGGGUGAGUAACACGUGGAUAACCUACCUAUAAGACUGGGAUAACUUCGGGAAACCGGAGCUAAUACCGGAUGAUAUUUUGAACCGCAUGGUUCAAAAGUGAAAGACGGUCUUGCUGUCACUUAUAGAUGGAUCCGCGCUGCAUUAGCUAGUUGGUAGGGUAACGGCUUACCAAGGCAACGAUGCAUAGCCGACCUGAGAGGGUGAUCGGCCACACUGGAACUGAGACACGGUCCAGACUCCUACGGGAGGCAGCAGUAGGGAAUCUUCCGCAAUGGGCGAAAGCCUGACGGAGCAACGCCGCGUGAGUGAUGAAGGUCUUCGGAUCGUAAAACUCUGUUAUUAGGGAAGAACAUAUGUGUAAGUAACUGUGCACAUCUUGACGGUACCUGAUCAGAAAGCCACGGCUAACUACGUG